This 74-nucleotide small nucleolar RNA is filed under the name Fundulus heteroclitus (mummichog). RNAcentral describes it as "Small nucleolar RNA MBII-202 (ENSFHEG00000006114.1)". It matches the Rfam family "Small nucleolar RNA MBII-202". Rfam says of the family: MBII-202 is a member of the C/D class of snoRNA which contain the C (UGAUGA) and D (CUGA) box motifs. Most of the members of the box C/D family function in directing site-specific 2'-O-methylation of substrate RNAs. The record is from RNAcentral. Lineage: Eukaryota; Metazoa; Chordata; Actinopteri; Cyprinodontiformes; Fundulidae.
UGAUGACAAAUCUCCGGAAUCUCUGUAUUUUCUUGAUGAAAACCUUGAACCCUUUUCUGAUGACUGCUGUUGUU